Molecule: long non-coding RNA, 1292 nt
Filed under: Olea europaea subsp. europaea
Lineage: Eukaryota; Viridiplantae; Streptophyta; Magnoliopsida; Lamiales; Oleaceae
Source: RNAcentral
UGUAAAUAUAAUCUCAUAAUCACGAUAUAGUCGUCAGCUGAUAUCUAUACUAUCAUCUCAUCAUAUUACAUGUGAUCCACCAAAAAUGUACCCUCUGACUAAAAUCUGAAAUCCGCCCCUUAGGCCAAACACUUUCGACACGGGCCUUUGGCCCCUUUCGUGAAUGAAAGCAGGUCUUAAGACCUCUAGUAAUCAAUUCUAUAACACGACCAAGGCCCCUUAGUAAACUAUAUGUACACGGCCACAACCCCUUCAUCCUCAGUCAACCCCUCAGUAUAGUAUAGAAUACGGCCAAGGCCCCUCAGUGAACUAGAAAAAUAUAUUAUCACGGAUACUUUUCUGGUCGAUCUCAAAAUUACAUGUCUCAUAUACCAAACAAAUCUCAAUAUUACAUGUCUUAUAUACCAAGUCACAAAUGUAACAUAAAUAAUUUUUGAGAUUCCACAUGUAUUAUAAUAAAAGAUAUUUCCAUAGUAACCAUAUAAUUCAAACACAUAAUUGCACAUACCUUGAUAAUAUACUUAAUUUAUAAAUACUUUAAAAAUAUUUAUAUUUUUCCACUCACAGAGUUAUAGGCUGCAAGCUAAUCUAGACAUUUUGCUUUCCGAAUAUCCUCGCUACCUCAUCCUGAAAUAACAAUAAAAUUGCAUGAAUUCAUAUUGGUCGUGGAAUAACAAAUACCCAUCUUACUUGUAUUCCUCUAUUUUUAUUCUUUAUUUGUUUCAUAGUUCUUCCUAUAUAUUUUAAUAAGUUUCAUAUUCGCUUGAUUGAAACCAAAACCCAUCAUAAAUCCUUGUUCAAGCUGAAAAGAAGCCUAAAAGAGAAGUCCAAAAUUCUUUCUUGAUGGUACCUAGACAGCCACUUGUUCGCAUAAAAGUCCUCCCGUCUAGUUGUCGAAAACAAAAAUUCCUACUUAUACUAAUAUAAACCCAUAUUGUUCAAGUAAUUGGGAAAUUUUGAACACAUAAUCAAUGAUUAAAGUCAAUAACAUCAAACCCAUUUCCCUUUUAAUUCUCGUUUCUCACACCUUCAACCCAAAUUCCACUGACUUUCUAAUUCUUGAAAUCCAGAUAUGGAUAAAAAACCAAAAAUCACCUCAACUAACACUAUAAUAAAUAAAGUCUUAAAACAAACUAGUCCCUAUAAAAUGCUUGACUUUAAACACUAAUUCCAUUUUUACCUAUUGAAAUAGAAGAAGAAUUGGAGACCCAUGAGCUAGAAUAGACAAUUUCUUUCGAUCAACUUGAUUGGCCACCAUCUUCUAUUUCCCUUUUUCUUUCCCAAAUCUUCUU